This 342-nucleotide long non-coding RNA is filed under the name Nicotiana benthamiana. Its description in RNAcentral is "long non-coding RNA (NBEN_LNC002321)". Lineage: Eukaryota; Viridiplantae; Streptophyta; Magnoliopsida; Solanales; Solanaceae. The record is from RNAcentral.
AAAUGGUACUUUUCCUUAUAUGUGUGUACAAGUAUGUCUACUUAUUUGCUUGACAGAUUUCCUUGGUUAAAGUUUCAUUUACCUAGUCUGCAUUGUAUACAUUAUACUAUUUUGUUUCCUUAUGUGACGAUGCCAUACUCUGUGAUUCUUUUCCUUUAAAAACAAGGGACUGUUUAAUACCGUUUGACUAUGAUUCCUUCAUCAAAGGGAGUCCCUAUGCUUAUUUGAUUCUGAUUGAUAUCAGUUCCUUAAAUAGGGAUUGACACCUUAUUUGAUUACUCGUUUUAGUACUAUAAAUACUCCUCACUUCCCUCUUUGAAAAACACAAUACACACUGCUCUC